GUAAUAGGAGGAGCUAUUAUUAUUCUCUGGGCAAAAAGAUGAUCUUUCAGCCGUUUUAAUGAUCCAGAUGGAUCUUCAGAAAUAAUCAGAUCAAUUUCAGAAUCUCAACUGAGUUUUAAGUAUAAUGUUCUGAGGAAAGCUACCAAGGAAUUCGAUUUGGGAAGUAAGAUUGGCCAAGGAGGGUAUGGAACAGUUUAUAAGGGAAUUCUACCAGGUGGGAGGGAAAUUGCAGUGAAGAGGCUGCUCUUCAACACAAGACAAUGGGUGGAUCAGUUCUUCAAUGAAGUAAAUCUCAUCAGUGGGGUUCAACACAAAAACCUUGUCAAACUUAUUGGUUGCAGCAUUGAAGGUCCUGAGAGCCUCUUGGUUAAUGAGUAUCUCUGCAACACUAGCCUGGACCGGUUCUUAUAUGGUAAUUUC
Molecule: long non-coding RNA, 420 nt
Organism: Telopea speciosissima
Lineage: Eukaryota; Viridiplantae; Streptophyta; Magnoliopsida; Proteales; Proteaceae
Exons: 3
Source: RefSeq, a predicted model, not a curated record